UAGGGAAUCUUCCACAAUGGACGCAAGUCUGAUGGAGCAACGCCGCGUGAGUGAAGAAGGUUUUCGGAUCGUAAAGCUCUGUUGUUGGUGAAGAAGGAUAGAGGUAGUAACUGGCCUUUAUUUGACGGUAAUCAACCAGAAAGUCACGGCUAACUACGUGCCAGCAGCCGCGGUAAUACGUAGGUGGCAAGCGUUGUCCGGAUUUAUUGGGCGUAAAGCGAGCGCAGGCGGAAGAAUAAGUCUGAUGUGAAAGACCUCGGCUUAACCGAGGAACUGCAUCGGAAACUGUUUUUCUUGAGUGCAGAAGAGGAGAGUGGAACUCCAUGUGUAGCGGUGGAAUGCGUAGAUAUAUGGAAGAACACCAGUGGCGAAGGCGACUCUCUGGUCUGCAACUGACGCUGAGGCUCGAAAGCAUGGGUAGCGAACAGG
This 429-nucleotide ribosomal RNA is filed under the name Bacillota bacterium. Its description in RNAcentral is "Firmicutes bacterium partial 16S ribosomal RNA". It matches the Rfam family "Bacterial small subunit ribosomal RNA", at positions 355 to 776 of the family's 1533-position model. Lineage: Bacteria; Bacillati; Bacillota. The record is from RNAcentral.